CGGCGCUUUGGGAGCUGCAACCCAAGGGCGGUAGCGUG
Regulatory RNA element from Gallaecimonas xiamenensis 3-C-1, 38 nucleotides. It matches the Rfam family "JUMPstart RNA". The record is from Rfam. NCBI's taxonomy places the organism in Bacteria, Pseudomonadati, Pseudomonadota, Gammaproteobacteria, Enterobacterales, Gallaecimonadaceae.